GCCAUGCUGUAGCAUGUGUAAACAUCCUACACUCUCAGCUGUGGACUCAAGGUAGCUGGGAGAGGGUUGUUUACUCCUUCUGCCAUGGACUGAA
RNAcentral lists this non-coding RNA (94 nucleotides) under Chrysemys picta bellii (western painted turtle). Its description in RNAcentral is "miRNA (ENSCPBG00000018963.1)". The stretch from base 9 to 83 matches the Rfam family "mir-30 microRNA precursor family". From Rfam's summary of the family: This family consists of the mammalian microRNA (miRNA) precursor mir-30a. Animal miRNAs are transcribed as ~70nt precursors and subsequently processed by the Dicer enzyme to give a ~22nt product. In this case the mature sequence comes from both the 3' (miR-30) and 5' (mir-97-6) arms of the precursor. Lineage: Eukaryota; Metazoa; Chordata; Testudines; Emydidae. RNAcentral also lists the same sequence under 1 other name. The record is from RNAcentral.